GUUUUAAUAGUUUAAUAAAAACAUUGGUCUUGUAAAUCAAAAAUAAGAGCUAUUUCUUUUAAAACU
Molecule: transfer RNA, 66 nt
Filed under: Endopterygota sp. 24 LC-2017
Lineage: Eukaryota; Metazoa; Arthropoda; Insecta
Description: tRNA-Thr
Rfam family: tRNA
About the family: Transfer RNA (tRNA) molecules are approximately 80 nucleotides in length.
Source: RNAcentral